Molecule: transfer RNA, 71 nt
Filed under: Vollenhovia emeryi
Lineage: Eukaryota; Metazoa; Arthropoda; Insecta; Hymenoptera; Formicidae
Description: tRNA-His
Source: RNAcentral
AUUUAAGUAGUUUAAGAAAAAUAUUAAUUUGUGGAAUUAAUGUUAUAAUCCAUUUAUAGUUAUCUUAAAUU